Molecule: unclassified non-coding RNA, 333 nt
Filed under: soil metagenome
Description: partial contains 5.8S ribosomal RNA, internal transcribed spacer 2, and large subunit ribosomal RNA
Rfam family: 5.8S ribosomal RNA (bases 1-120)
Source: RNAcentral
GAUGAAGAACGCAGCGAAAUGCGAUAAGUAAUGUGAAUUGCAGAAUUCAGUGAAUCAUCGAAUCUUUGAACGCACAUUGCGCCCGCCAGUAUUCUGGCGGGCAUGCCUGUUCGAGCGUCAUUUCAACCAUCAAGCCCCCGGCUUGUGUUGGGGACCUGCGGCUGCCGCAGGCCCUGAAAUGCAGUGGCGGGCUCGCUGUCACUCCGAGCGUAGUAGUUACAUCUCGCUCUGGGCGUGCUGCGGGUUCCGGCCGUUAAAAGCCUUAUUUACCCAAGGUUGACCUCGGAUCAGGUAGGAAGACCCGCUGAACUUAAGCAUAUCAAUAACGGAGGA